CGCUGGCGGCAGGCUUAACACAUGCAAGUCGAGCGGUAGCACAGGGGAGCUUGCUCCCUGGGUGACGAGCGGCGGACGGGUGAGUAAUGUCUGGGAAACUGCCUGAUGGAGGGGGAUAACUACUGGAAACGGUAGCUAAUACCGCAUAACGUCGCAAGACCAAAGAGGGGGACCUUCGGGCCUCUUGCCAUCAGAUGUGCCCAGAUGGGAUUAGCUAGUAGGUGGGGUAAUGGCUCACCUAGGCGACGAUCCCUAGCUGGUCUGAGAGGAUGACCAGCCACACUGGAACUGAGACACGGUCCAGACUCCUACGGGAGGCAGCAGUGGGGAAUAUUGCACAAUGGGCGCAAGCCUGAUGCCGCCAUGCCGCGUGUGUGAAGAAGGCCUUCGGGUUGUAAAGCACUUUCAGCGAGGAGGAAGGUGGUGAACUUAAUACGUUCAUCAAUUGACGUUACUCGCAGAAGAAGCACCGGCUAACUCCGUGCCAGCAGCCGCGGUAAUACGGAGGGUGCAAGCGUUCAUCGGAAUUACUGGGCGUAAAGCGCACGCAGGCGGUUUGUUAAGUCAGAUGUGAAAUCCCCGGGCUCAACCUGGGAACUGCAUUUGAAACUGGCAAGCUAGAGUCUCGUAGAGGGGGGUAGAAUUCCAGGUGUAGCGGUGAAAUGCGUAGAGAUCUGGAGGAAUACCGGUGGCGAAGGCGGCCCCCUGGACGAAGACUGACGCUCAGGUGCGAAAGCGUGGGGAGCAAACAGGAUUAGAUACCCUGGUAGUCCACGCUGUAAACGAUGUCGAUUUGGAGGUUGUGCCCUUGAGGCGUGGCUUCCGGAGCUAACGCGUUAAAUCGACCGCCUGGGGAGUACGGCCGCAAGGUUAAAACUCAAAUGAAUUGACGGGGGCCCGCACAAGCGGUGGAGCAUGUGGUUUAAUUCGAUGCAACGCGAAGAACCUUACCUACUCUUGACAUCCAGAGAACUUUCCAGAGAUGGAUUGGUGCCUUCGGGAACUCUGAGACAGGUGCUGCAUGGCUGUCGUCAGCUCGUGUUGUGAAAUGUUGGGUUAAGUCCCGCAACGAGCGCAACCCUUAUCCUUUGUUGCCAGCGGUUCGGCCGGGAACUCAAAGGAGACUGCCAGUGAUAAACUGGAGGAAGGUGGGGAUGACGUCAAGUCAUCAUGGCCCUUACGAGUAGGGCUACACACGUGCUACAAUGGCAUAUACAAAGAGAAGCGACCUCGCGAGAGCAAGCGGACCUCAUAAAGUACGUCGUAGUCCGGAUUGGAGUCUGCAACUCGACUCCAUGAAGUCGGAAUCGCUAGUAAUCGUAGAUCAGAAUGCUACGGUGAAUACGUUCCCGGGCCUUGUACACACCGCCCGUCACACCAUGGGAGUGGGUUGCAAAAGAAGUAGGUAGCUUAA
Molecule: ribosomal RNA, 1414 nt
Filed under: Serratia marcescens
Lineage: Bacteria; Pseudomonadati; Pseudomonadota; Gammaproteobacteria; Enterobacterales; Yersiniaceae
Description: bacterial SSU rRNA
Rfam family: Bacterial small subunit ribosomal RNA
Source: RNAcentral